Molecule: ribosomal RNA, 218 nt
Filed under: uncultured bacterium
Lineage: Bacteria
Description: partial 16S ribosomal RNA
Rfam family: Bacterial small subunit ribosomal RNA
Source: RNAcentral
GACGAACGCUGGCGGCGUGCUUAACACAUGCAAGUCGAGCGGUAAGGCCCUUUCGGGGGUACACGAGCGGCGAACGGGUGAGUAACACGUGGGUGACCUGCCCUCAGCUCUGGGAUAAGCCUGGGAAACCGGGUCUAAUACUGGAUAUGACUCCAUGACGCAUGUUGUGGGGUGGAAAGCCUUGUGCGGCUGAGGAUGGGCCCGCGGCCUAUCACGUC